This 301-nucleotide ribosomal RNA is filed under the name uncultured bacterium. Its description in RNAcentral is "partial 16S ribosomal RNA". It matches the Rfam family "Bacterial small subunit ribosomal RNA", at positions 509 to 807 of the family's 1533-position model. The record is from RNAcentral.
CAGUAGCCGCGGUAAUACGAAGGGUGCAAGCGUUACUCGGAAUUACUGGGCGUAAAGCGUGCGUAGGUGGUGGUUUAAGUCCGUUGUGAAAGCCCUGGGCUCAACCUGGGAAUUGCAGUGGAUACUGGGUCACUAGAGUGUGGUAGAGGAUAGUGGAAUUUCCGGUGUAGUAGUGAAAUGCGUAGAGAUCGGAAGGAACAUCUGUGGCGAAGGCGACUAUCUGGGCCAACACUGACACUGAGGCACGAAAGCGUGGGGAGCAAACAGGAUUAGAGACCCGUGUAGUCCCUGUCUCUUAUAC